UGAUGAUGCUUGGACACAAAUAUUGGACCAUCUAGUCAUAUAUAAGUGAAAUACAUAUUUGAGUUUCAAGAUCAGCACUAGAAUUACAUACGCAUGCAUCGUACGGGCCCUCCUCCUUUGCCAUGUUUUUUUCUAAUUUUUCUAUCCAUAUUUUUCUAAGAUACUAAGUACUAGUACUAUUAUAAUGCAAACUCUUUUAGGACACAUUUGAUUCGAGGAAG
RNAcentral lists this long non-coding RNA (221 nucleotides) under Elaeis guineensis (African oil palm). RNAcentral's name for it is "long non-coding RNA (EGUI_LNC001561)". Lineage: Eukaryota; Viridiplantae; Streptophyta; Magnoliopsida; Arecales; Arecaceae. The record is from RNAcentral.